UUCAGAGGGGGACACCAGUUGGAAACGACUGCUAAUACCGCAUACGAUCUAACCUCGGCAUCGAGGAUAGAUGAAAGGUGGCCUCUAUUUAUAAGCUAUCACUGAAGGAGGGGAUUGCGUCUGAUUAGCUAGUUGGAGGGGUAACGGCCCACCAAGGCGAUGAUCAGUAGCCGGUCUGAGAGGAUGAACGGCCACAUUGGGACUGAGACACGGCCCAGACUCCUACGGGAGGCAGCAGUGGGGAAUCUUCCGCAAUGGACGAAAGUCUGACGGAGCAACGCCGCGUGAGUGGUGACGGCCUUCGGGUUGUAAAGCUCUGUUAAUCGGGACGAAAGGCCUUCUUGCGAAUAGUUAGAAGGAUUGACGGUACCGGAAUAGAAAGCCACGGCUAACUACGUGCCAGCAGCCGCGGUAAUACGUAGGUGGCAAGCGUUGUCCGGAAUUAUUGGGCGUAAAGCGCGCGCAGGCGGAUUGGUCAGUCUGUCUUAAAAGUUCGGGGCUUAACCCGUGAUGGGAUGGAAACUGCCAAUCUAGAGUAUCGGAGAGGAAAGUGGAAUUCCUAGUGUAGCGGUGAAAUGCGUAGAUAUUAGGAAGAACACCAGUGGCGAAGGCGACUUUCUGGACGAAAACUGACGCUGAGGCGCGAAAGCCAGGGGAGCGAACGGGAUUAGAUACCCCGGUAGUCCUGGCCGUA
Molecule: ribosomal RNA, 694 nt
Filed under: uncultured organism
Description: SSU rRNA
Rfam family: Bacterial small subunit ribosomal RNA
Source: RNAcentral